Molecule: ribosomal RNA, 112 nt
Filed under: Caerostris darwini
Lineage: Eukaryota; Metazoa; Arthropoda; Arachnida; Araneae; Araneidae
Source: RNAcentral
AACGGCCGUACCAUGCUGAAUAUACCGGUUCUCGUUAGAUCACCGAAGUCAAGCAUCAUUGGGCGCUGUGAGUACUUGGGUGGGUGACCACCUGGGAACACCGCGUGCCGUU